AGCUGAACAACAUAACAGCCGGAAUUCCAGCCUCCCUUUCAGCUUUAUGUGGCCACACAACGAAACCGUGGCCAAAGGGAUGUGCGUAAAAGUAACGUAGGCAACUUAUGGAUCAAGGCUGGUAGAAAAGAUGAGGAAGUGAAGGCACCGGGCCGCUGAGCGUCUCGCCAAGUAUUCCUUCCGGUGCAACGGGGGCUCGGCCCCUCCCCUCCAGGUGUCCAGCGCAGGCUUCCUCCUGUGACAACCACGCGCAUUUCUCCCAUCCUAUCGCGAUCCAUUACGGUUCCUGCUACUGAUCUCUCUGGGAGCUCAGAUCUGUCUUCAGUCGGGAACUCACAAAGCCUUGUUGUCAGUGGUGUGGAAGAAAUUCAGUUAGAAGCGUCCCCAAGUACAUCCCUGGACCCAUCCUUGGCGGGCAAGAGGAUGAGUUC
Panthera uncia (snow leopard) is the source of this 431-nucleotide long non-coding RNA. RefSeq lists it as uncharacterized. Lineage: Eukaryota; Metazoa; Chordata; Mammalia; Carnivora; Felidae. The transcript is spliced from 3 exons. The record is from RefSeq and is a predicted model, not a curated record.